RNAcentral lists this transfer RNA (74 nucleotides) under Deinococcus soli (ex Cha et al. 2016). RNAcentral describes it as "tRNA-Gly". It matches the Rfam family "tRNA". Rfam says of the family: Transfer RNA (tRNA) molecules are approximately 80 nucleotides in length. Their secondary structure includes four short double-helical elements and three loops (D, anti-codon, and T loops). The record is from RNAcentral. Lineage: Bacteria; Thermotogati; Deinococcota; Deinococci; Deinococcales; Deinococcaceae.
GCGGGAUUGAUGUAGCGGUAACAUGACACCCUUCCACGGUGAUCUCCCCGGUUCGAAUCCGGGAUCCCGCUCCA